This 251-nucleotide ribosomal RNA is filed under the name uncultured bacterium. Its description in RNAcentral is "partial 16S ribosomal RNA". It matches the Rfam family "Bacterial small subunit ribosomal RNA", at positions 524 to 776 of the family's 1533-position model. The record is from RNAcentral.
UACAGAGGCCUCAAGCGUUAGGCGGAAUCACUGGGCUUAAAGCGUGUGUAGGUGGAUGCCUAAGUACCUUGUGAAAUCCCACGGCUUAACCAUGGAAUUGCUUGGUAUACUGGGUGUCUUGAGCCACUCAGGGGCUACCGGAACAACGGUGGAGCGGUGAAAUGCGUAGAUAUCGUUUGGAACGCCAAUGGUGAAAACAGGUAGCUGGGAGUGUGCUGACGCUGAGACACGAAAGCCAGGGAGCGAACGGG